UGUAUUCAUUGUACAGUUGUGCUAAAUCCCCAACACUUAUUAAUAGCAGCUAUUCUUGAACCGCUUCCCCCACAAACACACAGAUGCCUGGGUUAUUUCCCCACCCGGUGUAAUGAAUCGGUGCACAUCUUAGAGUUACCCAACCAACCACGCAAUAUAUCAACCUCAAAUUCUCAAUACAAAUCCAUAUGGUCGCAUAAAUUGAUGUAGGCUAGCUUCAGGGGAAAGGUAAAAAAAUUGAUUUAGGAGGGGAAAGGUAAAAGAAGAGGUAGACAUCUUAAAUUAGCAAAGAAAACCGUCGAGAAUUACGUGGUCAAAAGGUACACUGAGGGUCAAAAAUUUGCAGUUCUAGGUGCAAUCCAUGGCAUGCAGCUACACAGAAUAACGUUUCUGAAGAAGAUUACACAGGUCAGGAAAGCAUAGUCGUAGCACUUCAAGUCACGGCUACAGCUAGGAUGCUCACGUUACCUUCAGCUGCGAAGGCCAAGCUAAGGAACUCCUUUAAUUUUCUGGAACAAAGGGACUCGACUGUCGGGACAACAUGCGAUGGAUCUUCAGGGGUAGACGACGGCGUAGGCGCGGCGGCGUGGCUGCGAGCCGGCCACUAGAGCCGCCACGACGACGGCGAGGACGAGCAGCGCCAUGACGAUGUCCUCGUCCAGCGACAGCAGGCACAGCUUCUUCCCCAUGCUCUCCUUCUCUUCCUUUAUUUCUUUCCUUCUCCGAUGAAUGAAUCGAUCCCUGCAGAGUAGUAUAUAUAUGACGUGUGUAUACAGUGGACAUUUCAGAAGAAAGAAAAACUACACAUGCAAUUGGGAGGCUCUGUCUCUCCGGGUCAACUCAGCCGCGAGACCACAUCUUGAUGUCUUUAAUUAAACUUCUUCGGUUUUGAGAAAUUAAUUAGACUUGCGGAAAAGGGUCAUGCGACACAUGCGGCUGUUAGUUUUUUGCCGGCGUAUGGGCCCGGACGCCCGGUAUAUAUAUGCGUCGGCUUACUUGCUAGACAGCGGUCGAUCAAUCUGGAUGAUCGCCGAAGCUUCUUCUUCUUCAGUUCUUCGGCACGCGCUCACCUUCGUGAAAGUCUAAGGCAGGACUGACUUAAAUCUCUAUAUUUUUUAGGAGUAGGAACCGAGAGUUGGCAAGGCUAUGCAUUUUAAACGCAAGUGGGAAUGCAUGUAUAUGGUAC
RNAcentral lists this long non-coding RNA (1186 nucleotides) under Brachypodium distachyon (stiff brome). RNAcentral's name for it is "long non-coding RNA (BDIS_LNC001680)". The record is from RNAcentral. Lineage: Eukaryota; Viridiplantae; Streptophyta; Magnoliopsida; Poales; Poaceae.